UCAUUUAUAGUGUGGUAUCAAUUACAGUUGGAUUUAAACAAACAUAAUUUAACGUUAUUGAUUACUCAUUACAUUACCAAUAUGUGAACCAAACGACACCUAUGCGGUUAGCUACAAACAGUAUCUUUUUAGGUGAACUUGUCAAAUCUUUUCAGUAUCAUUUCUAGAAAGGCUCGAAUAACUGCAUUUGGAGCAAGUCAUAAGCAGUGGGCCGUACAUUAAAAUUGAUCAUCAGGAUUUUGAUGCGUGUAAUUAUUGAUCUUGGUGUACAAACAUGGUUUAUGAGUCUUUUCUUUUAUUAGUGAAGAUUUGUACUGUUUCCUGACAUUUCAGUUCUUAGUACCUGAAAUCCAGGAAAUGACUGGAACCGAUGCACCAAUGACUAUUCUGGCUAUGAUGCAUCUACUGGCAAGCUGUUACUGCCCCUCGAAAGAAGUUCCCAAGCGGGCAGCACUGGAUGAUCUACAGGACUACAACCUUUUCUCAAAUCCAUCACUUCAGAGCGGGCCACAUGCAUAAUGAAAUGUUGUAUAUUAUUGUUGAGAUUUGGAAACAUUGCACCUUAUAACUCAGCCUUGUUGCCUUGACUGGACCUAUAGGCACUUUGGGUACCAAACGAGUGAUUUUUGGAGGCAAGAAAAUGGGUGGGUGACUAGGAAGAGAGCAUGACGAGCUUUGAUAGUUUACUGGCCGAGAAAUUUGACUCAAGACUGCAUGCAUCUCGAUAUGCCCUAGUAUGUAAAUAAAUAAAUUGUCAUCGGUUCUAUCGUCGUGAUAGAAGUGGAUUUGAACUAACAGCACAAGGCAGGCUAGCAGAAUAGAAAAAUACAGAUGCAUGUGUUGUUUCAGACACGUCUGUUUCUUUACGAUGAUUCAAGGCCAAGUAUGAAUUGUAUU
This is a long non-coding RNA of Zea mays, 897 nucleotides long. RefSeq lists it as uncharacterized. The transcript has 2 exons. NCBI's taxonomy places the organism in Eukaryota, Viridiplantae, Streptophyta, Magnoliopsida, Poales, Poaceae. The record is from RefSeq and is a predicted model, not a curated record.